GCCGAGUUGGUUCGGUCUAGCGGAUACCAGUCUUAAAACUUAUUCCUAGACCCUGGGGUUCGAUUCCCCAAAUCGGCA
Non-coding RNA from Hypoxylon cercidicola, 78 nucleotides. The record is from the annotation of a GenBank genome assembly. NCBI's taxonomy places the organism in Eukaryota, Fungi, Ascomycota, Sordariomycetes, Xylariales, Hypoxylaceae.